AGAGUUUGAUCAUGGCUCAGAUUGAACGCUGGCGGCAUGCCUUACACAUGCAAGUCGUACGCGAAAGGGGGCAACCCCGAGUAGAGUGGCGAACGGGUGAGCAAUACAUCGGAACGUGUCCUGUAGCGGGGGACAACCUCGAGAAAUCGAGGCUAAUACCGCAUACGAUCUACGGAUGAAAGUGGGGGACCGCAAGGCCCCACACUAUAGGAGCGGCCGAUGCCGGAUUAGCUAGUUGGUGGGGUAACGGCCUACCAAGGCGACGAUCCGUAGCUGGUUUGAGAGAACGACCAGCCACACUGGGACUGAGACACGGCCCAGACUCCUACGGGAGGCAGCAGUGGGGAAUUUUGGACAAUGGGCGAAAGCCUGAUCCAGCCAUGCCGCGUGAGUGAAGAAGGCCUUCGGGUUGUAAAGCUCUUUCGGCGGGGACGAAAUAGCGCGGGGUAAUAUCCCGCGUCGAUGACGGUACCCGAAGAAGAAGGACCGGCUAACUACGUGCCAGCAGCCGCGGUAAUACGUAGGGUCCAAGCGUUAAUCGGAGUUACUGGGCGUAAAGCGUGCGUAGGCGGUCUCGCAAGUCCGAUGUGAAAUCCCCGAGCUUAACUUGGGAACUGCGUUGGAAACUAUGAGGCUAGAGUGCGGCAGAGGGGGGUGGAAUUCCAGGUGUAGCAGUGAAAUGCGUAGAGAUCUGGAGGAACACCGAUGGCGAAGGCAGCCCCCUGGGCCAGCACUGACGCUGAUACACGAAAGCGUGGGGAGCAAACAGGAUUAGAUACCCUAGUAGUCC
This 790-nucleotide ribosomal RNA is filed under the name uncultured bacterium. RNAcentral's name for it is "bacterial SSU rRNA". It matches the Rfam family "Bacterial small subunit ribosomal RNA", at positions 8 to 796 of the family's 1533-position model. The record is from RNAcentral.